AGGGUUUGAUUCUGGCUCAGGACGAACGCUGGCGGCGUGCUUAACACAUGCAAGUCGAACGGGAUCCUUUCUAGCUUGCUAGGGGGGUGAGAGUGGCGAACGGGUGAGUAACGCGUGAUUAACCUGCCGUGUAGUUUGGAAUAGCUCCUGGAAACGGGUGGUAAUGCCGAAUGUUCCACAUGCUCGCAUGGGUGUGUGGGAAAACGUUUUAGUGCUAUGCGAUGGGAUCGCGUCCUAUCAGCUUGUUGGUGGGGUAGUGGCCUACCAAGGCUUCGACGGGUAGCCGGCCUGAGAGGGCGACCGGCCACAUUGGGACUGAGAUACGGCCCAGACUCCUACGGGAGGCAGCAGUGGGGAAUAUUGCACAAUGGGGGGAACCCUGAUGCAGCGACGCCGCGUGCGGGAUGACGGCCUUCGGGUUGUAAACCGCUUUUAUUGGGGAGCAAGCGUGAGUGAGUGUACCUUUUGAAUAAGCACCGGCUAACUACGUGCCAGCAGCCGCGGUAAUACGUAGGGUGCAAGCGUUGUCCGGAAUUAUUGGGCGUAAAGAGCUCGUAGGCGGUUUGUCGCGUCUGGUGUGAAAGUCCAUCGCUUAACGGUGGAUUGGCGCUGGGUACGGGCAGGCUAGAGUGUAGUAGGGGAGACUGGAAUUCUCGGUGUAACGGUGGAAUGUGUAGAUAUCGGGAAGAACACCAAUGGCGAAGGCAGGUCUCUGGGCUAUUACUGACGCUGAGGAGCGAAAGCGUGGGGAGCGAACAGGAUUAGAUACCCUGGUAGUCCACGCCGUAAACGGUGGAUGCUGGAUGUGGGGCCCUUUCCACGGGUUCUGUGUCGGAGCUAACGCGUUAAGCAUCCCGCCUGGGGAGUACGGCCGCAAGGCUAAAACUCAAAGAAAUUGACGGGG
Molecule: ribosomal RNA, 904 nt
Filed under: Alloscardovia omnicolens F0580
Lineage: Bacteria; Bacillati; Actinomycetota; Actinomycetes; Bifidobacteriales; Bifidobacteriaceae
Description: bacterial SSU rRNA
Rfam family: Bacterial small subunit ribosomal RNA
Source: RNAcentral